AUUGAACGCUGGCGGCAGGCCUAACACAUGCAAGUCGAGCGGAUGACGGGAGCUUGCUCCUUGAUUCAGCGGCGGACGGGUGAGUAAUGCCUAGGAAUCUGCCUGGUAGUGGGGGACAACGUUUCGAGAGGAACGCUAAUACCGCAUACGUCCUACGAGAGAAAGCAGGGGACAUUCGGGCCUUGCGCUAUCAGAUGAGCCUAGGUCGGAUUAGCUAGUUGGUGGGGUAAUGGCUCACCAAGGCGACGAUCCGUAACUGGUCUGAGAGGAUGAUCAGUCACACUGGAACUGAGACACGGUCCAGACUCCUACGGGAGGCAGCAGUGGGGAAUAUUGGACAAUGGGCGAAAGCCUGAUCCAGCCAUGCCGCGUGUGUGAAGAAGGUCUUCGGAUUGUAAAGCACUUUAAGUUGGGAGGAAGGGCAGUAAGUUAAUACCUUGCUGUUUUGACGUUACCGACAGAAUAAGCACCGGCUAACUCUGUGCCAGCCGCCGCGGUAA
Molecule: ribosomal RNA, 500 nt
Filed under: uncultured bacterium
Lineage: Bacteria
Description: partial 16S ribosomal RNA
Rfam family: Bacterial small subunit ribosomal RNA
Source: RNAcentral